RNAcentral lists this transfer RNA (73 nucleotides) under Alphaproteobacteria bacterium. RNAcentral's name for it is "tRNA-Lys". It matches the Rfam family "tRNA". From Rfam's summary of the family: Transfer RNA (tRNA) molecules are approximately 80 nucleotides in length. Their secondary structure includes four short double-helical elements and three loops (D, anti-codon, and T loops). Lineage: Bacteria; Pseudomonadati; Pseudomonadota; Alphaproteobacteria. The record is from RNAcentral. RNAcentral also lists the same sequence under 2 other names.
GGGCCUAUAGCUCAAUUGGUAGAGCGCCGGACUCUUAAUCCGUCGGUUCCAGGUUCGAGUCCUGGUGGGCCCA